This 253-nucleotide ribosomal RNA is filed under the name uncultured bacterium. Its description in RNAcentral is "partial 16S ribosomal RNA". It matches the Rfam family "Bacterial small subunit ribosomal RNA", at positions 524 to 776 of the family's 1533-position model. The record is from RNAcentral.
UACGUAGGUGGCAAGCGUUGUCCGGAUUUACUGGGCGUAAAGAGCGCGCAGGCGGUCGUUCAAGUCGCGUGUGAAAGCCCCCGGCUCAACUGGGGAGGGUCACGCGAUACUGAUCGACUGGAAGGCAGGAGAGGGUAGUGGAAUUCCCGGUGUAGUGGUGAAAUGCGCAGAUAUCAGGAGGAACACCGGUGGCGAAGGCGGGUCUCUGGGCCGAUAUUGACGCUGAGGAGCGAAAGCGUGGGGAGCAAACAGG